RNAcentral lists this ribosomal RNA (6366 nucleotides) under Triticum aestivum (bread wheat). RNAcentral's name for it is "partial small subunit ribosomal RNA". The record is from RNAcentral. Lineage: Eukaryota; Viridiplantae; Streptophyta; Magnoliopsida; Poales; Poaceae.
AUGGUGAACUCCGUGUUGCCCGAGCCGCAAGAAGAUCGAUGCGCGGGAGUGGGAACACCCGAAUCUCCAUCAGAUCCUACCGGCACUUCACUCGCUUCUCUCACCGUUGCAUGCAUCUACUCCAGACUCUCCUUAAUGAUCGCAAUGUCCUUAGCCAUCCCUACUACCAUGCCAAAGAUCGUGUCGAUCUUCGCCUCUGUAGUCAAUGUGGUGCUCUCAGGAGCAGGAGGAAGUGCAGGAGCUCUGGCUUUAACAUCAACCCUCUCUGUCAACAUAAGUAUGAACCAUGGAAGAUGGCUCCCCGCUCCCUCACCCCAGAAGAUGGCUCCCCGCUCCCGCGGGCCUGGCGGAAGCGACCCCACGUCGCCGCCCGGUGACCCCUCGUCGCCGCUCCCCCAAGGGACGGCCAUCGUCUUCUCCUGCGCCCUUGGAAGCCUCUCCGUCCUCCCCUCCGGUGCGACCUCCGCGUCGCUCUCCCUCCCCUGGCGCGUCCCCCGCGCGCCUCCGGCCUCCGCCUGCUCAGAGGGGCACCCCGUCGUCGUCCCAGCGCCUUCCCCAACGCCCCUGCCUCGCUCCACCGCCACGCUCGCCCCGCGCAAUGAUGGCUUCGACGCCCUGCUGCGCGGCAUCCGGCGGGGGGAUCCCGGCCACGUCGAGUUCAGAAAACCAGGUGCGGCGUUCCUCGACUCGGUCAUGCUCAACUUUCACACCAUGGUUGCUUCGCCCCUUGCUCGGUUGUUUCCGGUAGACUCUUGCCGUUUCUGGAUCACUCCGGCAACACCGUCCCCCCGCAUGAACUCUUUCUUCGUCAAGAACGCUCUGAAUUUCUUGCUUACGGACGCCCCCGACGGCUUCUCCGUGGCCGCUGAUGGCGUCGGCUGCUUCUGCUCCCUGGCUGCGUCUCCGGACGUCGCCAACUUCAUUGUCGCCACGGCGUGCUUGCGCCUCGGCCGGACGGAGAUGCUCCUUCACCGCCGCAGGGCGGACGCGGUUGCCUCAGCUGCGCAUGCCCACAUGCAGCCACUCCCCCUCUCCUUCGCGAAUCCGGCUGCCCGGCGAUGGCCUCUGCGGCACCGCGCGCCCAUGCCCCGCUUCUUCGGCCCCCGCGCGCCCAUGCCCCGCUUCUCCGGCCCCUCUCUCCCCCAUGGCUCGCCCUCCCUGCCUCGUUCCUAUAAAGAGGCGCUGCUCUCCCCUGCAGCUCCUCCACACAGCCUUCGGCACAUCCUAGACUUCCUCCCCUCGCCGGUUAAGAAACUGUGCCACAAGUGCUAUUCCUCGGCUCACCUCGUCCGAGAUUGCCGUGACCCCGUGCGGUGCCGUGACUGCGGUCGUUCCGGCCACAUCAGCUCGCAAUGUAAGUUUGAUCCCCUUGUGCUCAUCCCUUCUUCCCCCACCUCCACUCUCCUUGUCUCACCUCCCCGGUACUCAUCUCCGCCGUCGUCCCCUUCCAGGCUCUCCGACGUGCUCUCCCACUCCCCUUCCACCCGGUCCCGCUCCACCUCCCCCGUCCGCUCCCCUCCCCGUGAGCACUGGAUGACCCGGUACUACAGGGAGGUCGAGGCCGAGCGUAGCAUGCCCUUCUUCUCACGCCCCCCGACUCCGUUCCCCCGCGGCGCUCCCUCCUCCUCCGGCGCGAGCUCCACCGACACUCCGAUGGAGCCGGCGGCUGCCGGGGGCCCCAACCCUACGGCCGGCAGCUCCGCUGGCGCUCAUGAGCCGGCUGCGCGAUGCCGCCCGGAGUACGCCGAGUGCUUCAUGCCCAUGGUGGACAUGGCGCACUCCCGCUGCUUCGCCUAUGCCCUCGUCGACCCACCAUCGCCAAGCCCGGCGGACCUCCUGCGUCGGGCGUUUGAGCAGCGUGCCGGCAACCCUCCGGUGCGCCUGGCGCCGUCCCACUACGGCGCCUUGAUGGUGAUCUUCUCCUCGGAGCCCGCUCGAGAGUUCGCCAUUCGUGAGUUCUUCCCGCUCCCCUUCGACGGCCACGUCAUCCUCCUCGAGCGGCCGGAGAACGGUGAGAACCGCUUCGGCUGGGAGUACACGUGCUUCGCGCAACUCUCGGCCACCGGCUUCCCCCUCGAGCAUUGGCAUGAGGCCGGCAUCCGCAAUGCCUUCCGCUCCAUCGGCAACGUCUGCUGCAUCGACCCCCUCUGCCUCAACGAGCUGGACUUCUCCGCAGUCCGCCUCGUCAUCCGCCUGGAGCACGAGGACGACGUCCCGCACGCGCUGCUUCUCCGCAACUACCACGGCGACCUCUCUACGGACGUGUCCAUCCGCCGGGUCCGCUCCUGGACCGUGGCCGAGGAUGGCUCCUCCGUCUCCUCCCACCACUUCGAGCCGUACGGCGGCUCGCCUCCACCCUCUCCGCGCGUGCGCCGCUCCUCGGCUAUGGACGACAUCGACACCGAGAGCCUCAGCGGGUUCGGGUCCCUCUCGCUUGAGGCGGCCCCCUUUGCUCCCGCGCCCCCGGCCGGCGCUUCGGGCGGCCAGGACAGCCCCGCCCUGGCUCGCCUCCGGUGCGAGAUCGGCCGUCGCCUCUCGUGCCUUCUGACGGAGCCCUUCCCCACCUGCUGGUGCUCCCUCCUCCCGCCGGCCACGGCCCUCGUCCCGGAGUGCGAGGCCGAGUCCGAGGCUGCGUCUGACUCCUCCCUCUCCUCUGGGGUGGUCUUCGCCGCGGCUGAUGCAGAGGCUCCUCUCCUGGCGCCUUCCGACCUCUGCAACGACGAGCACGAGCACGCCGCGCGCAAGCGCCGCGGCCUCCGCCAACACGCCGUCGACUCCGAGUUCGUGGAGGGGCGUCGCAGCCUGCGCCUUGCUGGGAAGGAGCCGGCCGCCUACGUGAAGAUGCUUGAGCGGGCCAAAGCGGUGAAGGCGGCGCGGUUCGACUCCUCCAAGGGCUCUCCGCGUCUCCGUGCUGCUAUCAGGGCUGCGGGCAUCGGCGAGGACGAUGGCGUCGUUCCUCCCAUGCCUCUUCGUCUGCUCCAGGAGCUGGGUGCUCCCUGCGGUGUGGACCCUGAUGCUCUUGCAGCCGGGGCCCGCGCUGAGUUCCACAGGCUUGCCGUGCUCCCGUCCGUGGAUCCCGACGAGGGGUUGUCGGAGCGCGUUAUCCUCUCUUCUUUUUUCUUUUCCCCCCGUGGGUGCCGCGACGUACGCGUGGAUAUCGACGCCAUGCAGCCCUCCUUCCUCGCUCUUCAAGAAACUAAACUUGUAGCCCCGGACUCACGCAAAUCUGACUCCUUCCUCCCAAAUGCGUUGCGCUCGUUCCUCCUGGCUAACGCGGUCGGCUCGUCAGGUGGGCUUUGCACUGCUUGGGACUCCCGCGUCUUCUCCAUCGCUAGUAACCUUUGCUCCCCUCGCGUGCUCUCUGUUGACUUGAAUCUCUGUCACGACAAUUCCCUUGUCCGCAUCACGAAUGUUUACGCUCCCUGCGACCACGCGUCCAAGCCCGCCUUCCUUGCCGAGCUCUCCGGCCAUGCCCCCGGUGACGCCAUCCCACGGGCCGUUUUGGGCGACUUCAAUCUUACUCGUUCUCCCGAAGACCGCAACAAUGCUAAUUUCUGCCGGACCGAGGCCGCACUCUUUAAUGACUUCAUCAAUGAGCUCUCUCUAAUUGACCUCCCCCUCCGCGACCGUCUUUACACGUGGUCCAACCGCCAGUCCUCCCCAAUCCUUGCUCGGCUCGACCGGGUCCUUGUCAACGUGUCGUGGGAUGCUAGGUUUCCCACUUCCACCCUCUCAUCCUUCACCCGCUCUACGUCCGACCACGUCCCCCUGGUUGCGUCGAUCUCUUCCUCCGCCCCCAAAACCCGCAUCUUUCGCUAUGAGAAGGCUUGGGCGCUGCACCCAUUGUUCUGCUCUGCGGUCGUUGUAGCUUGGGCCUCCGCUUUUCGGCCGGAUCCUACUGCUCGACUCGUUGCUCGUCUUCGUCAAGUUAGGCUUUGUUGUAAACGCUGGACGAGACGGGCGGCGCCUGCUUCCCGCCGUGAGCAGGACUGCCGCGUGCUCGUUGGCUUCCUUGAUCGCGUUGAAGAGCUGCGCCCCCUCUCUUCCCUCGAGUGUCUCCUCCCAACUCUCACUAUCGACGCCCUGCACCUCUCCAUCAAAGAGCGGGUCCUGUACUGGAAGCUCCGUGCCAAAGUUCGCUUUGCCGUGGAUGGGGACGAGAAUACUGGCUUCUUUCACGCCUCCGCCUCCUCACGUUUCCGGCGAAACUGUAUCCCCGUCCUUUCUGUCAACGGGAUCGACCUCCAUUCUCAUGAGGACAAAGCUGCUGCCCUCCGGACCUUCUACAAGGAUCUCCUGGGUACGGCGCCAGCCUGCUGCUGGAGUUUUUCCCUCUCGGACCUCUACCCCGACUCGACUCCGCUCCCCGGUGACCUCACGGCCCCCUUCUCCCCGGACGAGAUCCGUCGGGCCUUUCUCGACAUGAACCGUCUCUCCAGCCCCGGACCGGAUGGUUUCGGCCCCUCUUUCUACGCUUCGUUCUGGGAUACUGUCGUUGCGGAUGUCGAAGGGGUCUUCCAUGACUUCUAUGACGGUACUCUCGAUCUCACCCACAUAAACCGAGCCUUCCUCGUCCUUCUUCCUAAGUUUGAGGUAGCUCGCCCGCCGUCUGAUUUCCGCCCCAUCUCCCUGCAAAACUGCAUCAUGAAGGCCAUCACCAAAGCGUUGUGCUCCCGUUUGCAGCGAUACAUUCACUCUCUAGUUGACCCCGAUCAGACCGGGUUCCUCCAUGGCCGCCGCAUCUCUGAGAAUAUUGUCUACGCUGCUGACCUUCUUCGCGUUUGCCACACCCGGCGAGCUCCUACUGUGGUGUUUAAAAUCGAUUUCCGGAAGGCGUUCGACUCCGUCAACUGGGCCAGCCUCCUUGCCGUCCUCUCGGCUCGGGGUUUUGACUCUAAGUGGUGCGGUUGGAUUCGCGCUAUUUUGUCUACCGGUCACACCUCGGUUCUCCUGAAUAAUGUUCCUGGGGACUGGAUCCUUUGUCGCAACGGCCUGCGUCAGGGAGACGCGCUCUCCCCCUACCUUUUUAUUAUCAUUGCGGAUGUCCUUCAACGUCUCAUUCGCCGUGCUUCCGACGAGGGGCGGCUCGCCCACCCCAUUGACCCUUCCCUCCCGUGCCCCGUUCUGCAAUACGCCGACGAUACCCUUAUCCUCUGCCGCGCUGACAUUCCCUCGGUUACCCACCUCAAAACCUUGCUGGACGCUUUUGCCCUCGCUACCGGACUCGCCAUAAACUUCCACAAAUCUGGGUUCAUCCCGAUGCACUGCAGUGGUGAACUGUCGGCGGCCUUGGCUGGGAUCCUGGGCUGCCCUAUCUCUUCUUUUCCUCAACCCUACUUAGGACUCCCCCUGUCUCCCCAUAAGCUCCCCAUCUCCGCCUAUGACCCCCUCAUCCGUUCUUUCGACCGUUACCUUUCGGGCUGGCGUGCCCUGCUCCUUUCCUCUGGUGGCCGAAUGAUGAUUCAGAAUCUUCUCUCAAUUACUAUUGGACUUGAAGGAGGACAAUGGCAAGCUGAGGCCUUCGGUGAAGGAGAUGCGAAAUGCAAAUGUGGCAUCGUUCCCGUUCGCCUCGACCUCCCUUCUCUCCCUCAUGUACUCUCUGUCACCGGCGUACCUAGCACCCCGUGCUCCUCACAGUCGCCCAAGGUUAGCGGCGACCGUAGCGCCUCACAGCCCCCGGACCAAUGUGUGGACAUGGACGGUGAUGACAAGCAGCUCGUCAAGGCAUAUAUACAUAACGUUACCCUAAAUGCGAGGGUACUUUGGAGAUCAAGAGGCGGCAUUGACCUUUGUUCAUGGCGCGCAGACGGCGGGUGGACGAGGAAGAUCGCGCCGAUAUGCCUAAGCCGCAAAAAUGCUAGACCUACAAAACGCACGGUCGCGCGUCCGUCUCACUUCCCGCCCUACGCGCCGCGCUCCAUGAAUAGUCGGCCAGAGGUGCAUGGUGACGCGGCAGGCAGGUUGGCGUCAAUUUCAGUUCCACCCGACUCCAUGGCGACGAAACAGCACCUCGCCGGCUCGCAGCCGUACCUCCAUAUAUCUCUCGCUCCUUCCAGCUGCAGCUCGUACGAUCUCGGUCUCGGUCUCCCCCUUCUCUUCUCCUGCUACUCCACCAAGCCUCCCGGGCGCUCUCUACCGAACGGCGGCGACGCGACGGAGUGGAAGAAGGUGGCCGAGCUGAGGCCUGAGGGCCGUGGUCGAGGCCCAGGACCCCGCUGCCAAGGACCAGCUACUGCCAUGUGCCAUCCGUCCUAUCUUCGGUCCGAGCUAGCUAGCCAGACGUUGACACAUACUACGGUUAACCGUAACAGAGCAAAUCUUUGGGGCCUCCUCUCAUCUAGUUCAUAUGAUAGGAACACCGUAUGA